RNAcentral lists this ribosomal RNA (740 nucleotides) under uncultured bacterium. RNAcentral's name for it is "bacterial SSU rRNA". It matches the Rfam family "Bacterial small subunit ribosomal RNA", at positions 28 to 756 of the family's 1533-position model. The record is from RNAcentral.
GAUGAACGCUAGCUACAGGCUUAACACAUGCAAGUCGAGGGGCAGCAUUUCAGUUUGCUUGCAAACUGGAGAUGGCGACCGGCGCACGGGUGAGUAACACGUAUCCAACCUGCCGAUAACUCGGGGAUAGCCUUUCGAAAGAAAGAUUAAUACCCGAUGGUAUAAUCAGACCGCAUGGUCUUGUUAUUAAAGAAUUUCGGUUAUCGAUGGGGAUGCGUUCCAUUAGGCAGUUGGUGAGGUAACGGCUCACCAAACCUUCGAUGGAUAGGGGUUCUGAGAGGAAGGUCCCCCACAUUGGAACUGAGACACGGUCCAAACUCCUACGGGAGGCAGCAGUGAGGAAUAUUGGUCAAUGGGCGCAGGCCUGAACCAGCCAAGUAGCGUGAAGGAUGACUGCCCUAUGGGUUGUAAACUUCUUUUAUAUGGGAAUAAAGUUUUCCACGUGUGGAAUUUUGUAUGUACCAUAUGAAUAAGGACCGGCUAAUUCCGUGCCAGCAGCCGCGGUAAUACGGAAGGUCCGGGCGUUAUCCGGAUUUAUUGGGUUUAAAGGGAGCGUAGGCCGGAGAUUAAGCGUGUUGUGAAAUGUAGGUGCUCAACAUCUGCACUGCAGCGCGAACUGGUUUCCUUGAGUACGCACAAAGUGGGCGGAAUUCGUGGUGUAGCGGUGAAAUGCUUAGAUAUCACGAAGAACUCCGAUUGCGAAGGCAGCCCCCUGGGAUGCGACUGACGCUCAUGCACGA